Molecule: RNA transcript, 1789 nt
Organism: Cucurbita maxima (winter squash)
Lineage: Eukaryota; Viridiplantae; Streptophyta; Magnoliopsida; Cucurbitales; Cucurbitaceae
Gene name: pectinesterase 2-like
Exons: 3
Source: RefSeq, a predicted model, not a curated record
AAAUCCCACAGCUAAAUCAAAAUAAAGAAAAAAUGGCAGUGAUUCAUAGCCGUUGGAUCCUUAUUGUUCUUGUUGUUCUUAAUUUUCCGGGCGCCAUUUUUGGUUAUUCCGAAAAAGAAUUGAAAAAUUGGUGUAGCCAAACACCAUAUCCAGCUCCAUGCGAGCAAUUUAUCAAAGCCAAAGCCACCGCCAAACAUUCCCCAAUCGCCACUAAAUCCCAUUUCCUUAAACUCUUGGUCGAAACGGCACUCGACGGCGCCGUUUCGGCCCAAAAAACCGCGCUGUCUCUCGGCCCAAAAUGCCACAAUGGCCGAGAAAAAUCAGCAUUGACCGACUGCGUUGACCUUUACAAUCAAAUCAUCUCCCGCCUCAACCGCUCCGCCGACCGCUGCUCCUCCGUCGACGCCCAGACUUGGCUCAGCGCCUCCCUCACCGCCCUCGACACCUGCCGGAACAGCCUCCAGGAGCUCGGGGUUUCGGCUUUCGGCUACCCUUUGACGAGCAAUAAUGUUUCCAAGCUCAUUAGCGAUGGGUUGUCUGUGAAUAAGCCGGCGUCACCCCAGGGGUUUGAACCAACUAUGGCGGAGGGGUUUCCGACGUGGGUUAGGCCCGGUGACCGGAAACUGCUGCAGUCGGGGUCUCCGAGUGCGGAUGUGGUGGUGGCGAAGGACGGGUCUGGGAAUUUUAAGACGGUGAAGGAGGCGGUCGCCGCUGCGAAAGGCGGCGGGAGAUUUGUGAUAUAUGUGAAGGCGGGGGUUUAUAGUGAAAACCUUGAGAUUAAUGCUAAGAAUGUUAUGUUGAUCGGCGACGGAAUCGGAAAAACUGUCAUCACCGGAAGUAGAAGUGUCGGCGGCGGUUUCACCACGUUUAGAUCCGCCACCGUGGCCGUUGAUGGAGACGGCUUUAUCGCGCGAGACAUAACCUUCAGAAACACUGCCGGAGCGGCGAACCACCAGGCGGUGGCGCUCCGAUCGGGGUCUGACCUGUCGGUCUUCUAUCGAUGUGGCUUCGAAGGCUAUCAAGAUACUCUCUACGUCUACGCCGAACGCCAAUUCUACAAACAAUGCGACAUUUACGGCACUGUCGAUUUCAUCUUCGGCAACGCCGCCGUCGUACUCCAAGAUUGCAACAUCAUCGCCCGCGAUCCUCCGAAUAGGACUAUCACCGUCACCGCCCAGGGCCGAUCAGAUCCGAAUCAGAACACCGGAAUCUCGAUCCACAAUUCCCGAAUCACGUCCGCCGGCGGCCUCAGCGGCGUCAAAGCCUAUUUAGGUCGGCCGUGGAGGCAGUACUCGCGGACAGUUAUUAUGAAAUCGUCGAUCGGCGGAUUCAUCAGUCCGGCCGGGUGGCUAGAAUGGAGCGGUAAUUUUGCCCUAAAUACACUCUAUUACGGCGAAUAUAUGAAUACCGGUCCGGGAGCUUCGACGGCGAAUCGAGUGAAAUGGAAGGGCUAUCGUGUAAUUACCAGUGCGACGGAGGCCUCCAAGUUCACCGUCGGGAAUUUCAUCGCCGGUGGAUCUUGGUUACCGAGUACCGGCGUGCCUUUCACCCCCGGCCUCUAGAAACGCUGCCGUUUUACUCUGCUUACUAUUUUGUAUGUAUUCUUAAAUCUUAAUAAUCGUUUUUUUUUUUUUUUUUCUUUUCGUCUCUGGGAAACCGAUCUAAAAUGGUUGGGUUUGAGAAAUUACGGUAUAUAAUAUAUAUAUAUAUAUAUAUAUAUAUAUAUAUAGUAUGUAUUUGUAUUUCAAUGCAAGUAUUUUAAAUAAAUGAAAUAUUAUAGUUUGAAUUA